GACGAACGCUGGCGGCGUGCUUAACACAUGCAAGUCGAACGGAAAGGCCCUGCUUUUGUGGGGUGCUCGAGUGGCGAACGGGUGAGUAACACGUGAGUAACCUGCCCUUGACUUUGGGAUAACUUCAGGAAACUGGGGCUAAUACCGGAUAGGAGCUCCUGCUGCAUGGUGGGGGUUGGAAAGUUUCGGCGGUUGGGGAUGGACUCGCGGCUUAUCAGCUUGUUGGUGGGGUAGUGGCUUACCAAGGCUUUGACGGGUAGCCGGCCUGAGAGGGUGACCGGCCACAUUGGGACUGAGAUACGGCCCAGACUCCUACGGGAGGCAGCAGUGGAGAAUAUUGCACAAUGGGCGGAAGCCUGAUGCAGCAAAGCCGCGUGCGGGAUGACGGCCUUCGGGUUGUAAACCGCUUUCGCCUGUGACGAAGCGUGAGUGACGGUAAUGGGUAAAGAAGCACCGGCUAACUACGUG
RNAcentral lists this ribosomal RNA (468 nucleotides) under uncultured bacterium. Its description in RNAcentral is "partial 16S ribosomal RNA". It matches the Rfam family "Bacterial small subunit ribosomal RNA", at positions 28 to 507 of the family's 1533-position model. The record is from RNAcentral.